CCCCCAUGUUGGAAGUUGAAGCCUUGACAUGUGGUGUUGUGGCCAGUAACUUGGCACCGUGCAUCGGCUACCUAAGAAAUGGCGGGAAAGUUCCUGACCCUUGCUGCAAAGGAGUUGCGGCUCUCAACAAUGCUGCUAAAACCACCAAAGAUCGCCGAGAUGCUUGUAAUUGCAUUAAAACAACCUCCACUCAAAUUGGUGGGGUUAAUGCUGCAAACGCCGCUGCUCUCCCUGGUCUCUGCCGUGUUAAUAUUCCGUACAAGAUCAGCACAUCCACCAACUGCGCCAGGUUUGCACUUUAUAACUUCUUCUAUCUUAUUCUUCGUUUCAUGUAUUAAAUCUUGUAUAUUAAACAAAAUAAUUGUUAUAAAUCAACGCCCGUUGAAUUUGCAAAUCACUUUUCCGGCUUCGAGAGUAUUCUCUAACGUCAUUUUCUUCGGACGCAGCAUCAAGUGAGUGGAGCAAGAUCGAACAUCAUCCACCGGGUUGCCUCAUGAUCAUAAUAAAGUAGGUGUUUGCCUGUAUUGAUGGGUCUCCACUAGGGCGAGUCCCACACUCAGUCUUGUGUCGUUGUCUUUUUUUUUUUUAACGAGUAUCAUGCGUCGUUAUCCAUGUAUCUUUUGGCGGUAUGCAAUAUUUAUGAAAAUAAAGUACUAUUUUGUUGUUAUUUUCAUGCUUGUCUAAUAUUUCUCACCUUUUCAAGUCAAUAUACCGUAUUAUUCAGAUUUUCCAAUGGCUGUUGUGGAUAUUAAUAAACUGAAUUGAAAUCGAAAGCAUUGAAUGGAAAAAUAUACAUUCCUUGCGACGAUAAUAGUAACUAAAUAUAGCCGAAAAUCUAUUUAAAAUAUUCAAUUGAAUAGUAAAAGGUCAAGAACUUCAUAAUUGAAGAAAUACCUAAAAUAUUUAAUCUAUAUUCAUAGUUCUUUUCUGCCAAAUAAACCUUUACCACCCUUUAAAUAGGAGAACUAAAGAACUCUAAUAAUUUCGUUGAUAACUUAUUUAUAGUUUCAUAAGACCUUAAAUAUUAUAAAAUAAACUUCUUAAAUAAUCCAGAAUCUUUCUAUUCAUACUUUAUCUUGACAACCAAAAUUAAAAGUACUUAAAUUCAUCAUCACAAGUCAAUAAUUAAAAUUUUCAAGAAAAAAUUUAAUUUCAAGAUUUAUCAAAUUAUUGAAUUGAAUUGUUGUAGGGCCCCUUGCUUAAUUAUCUAAUUGCAGCCAGCCAUAUUGGGCCAUCAAAUAGAGACUAAGCAAGUUGCACAAAUGAGCUAUUUUGAAAUAGUUAAAUGUUUAAAAAAUUUCAAUGUGAUCCUUGUUUAUUUUUGCACAAGCUAUUUUGAACCUAAUUUUUUUUAAAAAAUUUAGUCCCUCAUAUUUUUUUAAUUUAUUGAUUUAUUUCUUUAGUUUCUAUAAAUUUUAUUUUGGUAUCGAGAUAGGACUUGUAUUAUAGUUUAGACAAAGAAUUAUUGUUUACAUUUAUUUUAACCACCUAAAUAAUUGAAAUUAAUAUUAAUGGUUUUAUUCGGUGAGAAAAGUCUUAUAGUCUUAUAGUGAUUAUUUUAAGUUUCAAUAUUGUUUAAAAAAUAAAUCUAAAUUAAGGAUAAUAAAAUCUUUUCAGUUUGAUUUUGUGAUUUGAACUGUUUUUGAGUUUAUUAAGCUGCUAAAUCUAAAUGGGACUCUACAUGUUCUAUAACUAAUUUCUGCCUUAGCAAGGUAAUUUUUUUUUUAAAUGAUUGAUGAUUGUCUGCUUUUUUAAACGAGAAAAAAACCAAGCUCCUUCAAAUAAGAAAAAAACAAGCCCAGGCUUGCAUAGCUUUAAAGCCCGCGUGCCUGGGUUGUUCCUUCCAAAAGCCUAGUGUGCUAGGCCAUAAACCUACAAUAUUAGCCUAUAUUUUGGGUUUUGUUUAGAUAUAUAUUUAUGAAAAAAAAUAACCAUAUUAGUUUUAUGAAUGAGUUAAACCAUAAUAUUCAAUCUAUUGUUUUUUUAAUGUGUCUUUCAUCCUUUGAUUUAAAAAAAAUACAAUUUCAUCAUUUAUUAUUAAUAAUCUAAUUUUUUAUUUAACUUAAAUUUUUAAAAAAUACAAUUUCAUCCUUUAUUAUCAUUGAUUUACUUUUGCUAUCUCAGUACAUGUUUGUUAUGACUUUUUUCUUUUAAAAAAACCUUUCAUUAAAAAAAUUACAUAUGCUUUAUUGUCAUAUAAAUCUAUUAAAUGAAUUACAAUCUAUAAAAUAAAAAAAAUAUAUUGAAUUUGAUGACGAGAGUUUGGUUGGUUAACUUAAUUUAACAUGUUUUAUUUUUUUUAUAUAAAAAAAUAGGUUUUUAUAUCAUUUUUUUCUUCAACAUUGAAUUAAUUUAAUUUAAGAUUUAAGUUUUCAAUUUAUUUUUUUCAAGAUUAUCCUCACAACUUGAGCAUGUGAAUCAAAAAUGAUCUAAGUUGAUCUAAUAUUUUUUUCAAUAUUAAAUAAAAAAAUUGUCUAAUAUGCAACUAAUUAUAUAUAUAUAUAUAUAUAUAACAAUGCUUAAAUAUUUUUCUUUUAAAAAAACUUUUUUUCGCGAUGUAUCAUGGGACAAUAAACUAGUAGAACUCUAAAAAAAUGUUGCUUGUAUCAUUAUUGGCCGAACUCUUAUUCUC
Molecule: long non-coding RNA, 2632 nt
Filed under: Populus tremula
Lineage: Eukaryota; Viridiplantae; Streptophyta; Magnoliopsida; Malpighiales; Salicaceae
Description: long non-coding RNA (PTRE_LNC001274)
Source: RNAcentral